RNAcentral lists this transfer RNA (72 nucleotides) under Danionella translucida. It matches the Rfam family "tRNA". From Rfam's summary of the family: Transfer RNA (tRNA) molecules are approximately 80 nucleotides in length. Their secondary structure includes four short double-helical elements and three loops (D, anti-codon, and T loops). Lineage: Eukaryota; Metazoa; Chordata; Actinopteri; Cypriniformes; Danionidae. RNAcentral also lists the same sequence under 1 other name. The record is from Rfam by way of RNAcentral.
GGGGAUGUAGCCCAGUGGUAGAGCGCAUGCUUCACAUGUAUGAGGCCUUGGGUUCAAUCCCCAGCAUCUCCA